This 478-nucleotide ribosomal RNA is filed under the name uncultured bacterium. RNAcentral describes it as "partial 16S ribosomal RNA". It matches the Rfam family "Bacterial small subunit ribosomal RNA", at positions 28 to 523 of the family's 1533-position model. The record is from RNAcentral.
GACGAACGCUGGCGGCGUGCUUAACACAUGCAAGUCGAACGGUAAGGCCCUUCGGGGUACACGAGUGGCGAACGGGUGAGUAACACGUGGGUGAUCUGCCCUGCACUUCGGGAUAAGCCUGGGAAACUGGGUCUAAUACCGGAUAGGACUCCUGCCUGCAUGGGUGGGGGUGGAAAGCUUUUGCGGUGUGGGAUGGGCCCGCGGCCUAUCAGCUUGUUGGUGGGGUGAUGGCCUACCAAGGCGACGACGGGUAGCCGGCCUGAGAGGGUGACCGGCCACACUGGGACUGAGAUACGGCCCAGACUCCUACGGGAGGCAGCAGUGGGGAAUAUUGCACAAUGGGCGCAAGCCUGAUGCAGCGACGCCGCGUGAGGGAUGACGGCCUUCGGGUUGUAAACCUCUUUCAGCACAGACGAAGCGCAAGUGACGGUAUGUGCAGAAGAAGGACCGGCCAACUACGUGCCAGCCGCCGCGGUAA